Molecule: ribosomal RNA, 642 nt
Filed under: uncultured organism
Description: bacterial SSU rRNA
Rfam family: Bacterial small subunit ribosomal RNA
Source: RNAcentral
GGCUUAGAGUUUGAUCAUGGCUCAGGAUGAACGCUGGCGGCGUGCUUAACACAUGCAAGUCGAACGGAGUAGGUAGCAAUACUUACUCAGUGGCGGACGGGUGAGUAACGCGUGAACAAUCUGCCUAUGUCAGGGGAAUAACACUAAGAAAUUGGUGCUAAUACCGCAUAAGACCACGGAGGGGCAUCCCUCAGGGGUAAAAGAAAUAUCGGACAUAGAUGAGUUCGCGUCCCAUUAGGUAGUUGGUGAGGUAACGGCCCACCAAGCCGACGAUGGGUAGCCGACCUGAGAGGGUGAUCGGCCACAUUGGAACUGAGAGACGGUCCAGACUCCUACGGGAGGCAGCAGUGGGGAAUAUUGGGCAAUGGAGGGAACUCUGACCCAGCAACGCCGCGUGAGUGAAGAAGGUUUUCGGAUUGUAAAACUCUUUAAGCGGGGACGAAGAAAGUGACUGUACCCGCAGAAUAAGCAUCGGCUAACUACGUGCCAGCAGCCGCGGUAAUACGUAGGAUGCAAGCGUUAUCCGGAAUGACUGGGCGUAAAGGGUGCGUAGGUGGUUUGCCAAGUUGGCAGCGUAAUUCCGUGGCUUAACCGCGGAACUACUGCCAAAACUGGUAGGCUUGAGUGCGGCAGGGGUAUGUG